UUCGGGCAAUCGCGGUCAUUCAGUUGGCUGAGGAAAGUCCACGCUCGCACGAACUGUGAUGUUCGUAGUGUUUGUACUUAGCCUAAUAAGCUAAGGUACCAGAAAUGGUAACGGCGGAAAACGCGCUAAGGUCUUUUGGCUAUGCGUUACUAUCCUUAAAUAGUGCCACAGUGACGGAGCACCAUUGGAAACUUUGGUGGUGGAACGAGGUAAACCCUGCAAGCGGGCAACCCAAACAUUUGGUAGGGGCGCUUCGAUCUAAGGAACCGAACUAAAGAUCGAGACAAUUUAUUGUAGAUAGAUGAUUGCUGAAAGUAAAACUCCCAAUUUUACUGGAACAAAACGUGGCUUAUAG
This 355-nucleotide RNase P RNA is filed under the name uncultured Amylolactobacillus sp. Its description in RNAcentral is "Bacterial RNase P class B". It matches the Rfam family "Bacterial RNase P class B". From Rfam's summary of the family: Ribonuclease P (RNase P) is a ubiquitous endoribonuclease, found in archaea, bacteria and eukarya as well as chloroplasts and mitochondria. Its best characterised activity is the generation of mature 5'-ends of tRNAs by cleaving the 5'-leader elements of precursor-tRNAs. The record is from RNAcentral. Lineage: Bacteria; Bacillati; Bacillota; Bacilli; Lactobacillales; Lactobacillaceae.